Molecule: long non-coding RNA, 203 nt
Filed under: Gossypium barbadense (sea-island cotton)
Lineage: Eukaryota; Viridiplantae; Streptophyta; Magnoliopsida; Malvales; Malvaceae
Description: long non-coding RNA (GBAR_LNC011381)
Source: RNAcentral
UGUCAGUGUAAGACCAUGUCUACGACAUGGCAUCGGCACAGAUACACUAGAACUUGUGUAAGACCAUGUCUGGGACAUGGCGUCAAUGUCUGACCCCACAUCACAUUGAAGGCUAUAUGAGUAUCCGAUAAUAAUCCAAAUGGUUCAAUGGUAAAAGUAUGAUUUAAAUUUAACUAGGAAAGUGUAAUCGUGUUAUGAGUGGC